CCUACGGGAGGCAGCAGUGAGGAAUAUUGGUCAAUGGACGCAAGUCUGAACCAGCCAUGCCGCGUGCAGGAAGACGGCCCUAUGAGUUGUAAACUGCUUUUGUACGGGGGUAAACGCAGAUACGCGUAUCUGUUUGAAAGUAUCGUACGAACAAGGAUCGGCUAACUACGUGCCAGCAGCCGCGGUAAUACGGAGGAUUCAAGCGUUAUCCGGAUUUAUUGGGUUUAAAGGGUGCGUAGGCGGUCGGAUAAGUUAGAUGUGAAAUCCCUAGGCUCAACUUCGGAAUUGCAUCUGAUACUGGUCGGCUAGAGUGUAGUAGCGGUAGGCGGAAUGUAUGGUGGAGCGGUGAAAUGCUUAGAGAUCAUGCAGAACACCGAUUGCGAAGGCAGCCUACCGGGCUACUACUGACGCUGAGGCACGAAAGCGUGGGGAGCAAACAGGAUUAGAUACCCGAGUAGUC
Molecule: ribosomal RNA, 460 nt
Filed under: uncultured bacterium
Lineage: Bacteria
Description: partial 16S ribosomal RNA
Rfam family: Bacterial small subunit ribosomal RNA
Source: RNAcentral